UCCCGACAAACUACAAAAUAUUCGGCUCCUCUAUUUAUUUUCGUCAGCCGUUCCCUUCCCUUCCUCUCCUUCGUCCGAGGAAGUGCCGUCCAGUCGAUUCCUUCGCUUCCGAUUGGAUAUGAUGGCAGCAGUAUCAGGGAAUUGUGCUCAAAAUGUAUUUCUGGCACAGCAUUGUCAACGGAGUAGGCAAUUAAACCCCAGAUUUCCCAGCGAUUCUUGUUCUCUUAGCAUCCACAGCACACAUCCCUUGCAGGCGUGGAGAUUGGCAUGGCCUAACAAAUCAGCCAUGUGGUCGCAUACCUUAGCAGCACACAGGACCGAUCUUGGGAACCGAGCAAGUAUCUAUUGCAAUGCUGCUCAAUUUACAAGUGCUAUUUCGUCCUCUGAGAAAGUUGACUUUCUCAAGCUUCAAAAUGGAAGUGAUAUUCGAGGUGUUGCUGUUGCUGGUGUUGUCGGGGAACCUGUCAGUCUUACUGAACCUGUUGCAGAAGCUAUAGCUGCUGCUUUUGCUGAUUGGUUAUUGGUUAAAAAGAAACCAGCUGAAUCAAAACGCCUAAGAGUCUCCAUUGGACAUGAUUCACGAAUAUCUGCUCAGAAAUUACAGGAUGCAGUUUCUCGUGGAAUUUGUAGUGCUGGAGUUGAUGUUAUUCAGUAUGGAUUGGCAUCUACGCCAGCAAUGUUCAGCAGCACACUUACAGAAAAUGAAAGUAUCCUUUGUCCAGUUGAUGGAUCCAUAAUGAUAACAGCCAGCCAUCUUCCCUAUAAUCGCAAUGGCUUUAAGUUUUUUACUAAUGCUGGUGGACUUGGAAAAGCUGACAUUAAAGACAUCUUGGAGCGUGCUGCAUAUAUAUAUGAGAAGUUCACAGAUGAAAGUCUGAAGAAAUCAGAACAAGCCACAAAUGCAGCUGUUAGAAAGGUGGAUUAUAUGGCAGUUUACACUUCUGAUCUUGUAGCUGCAGUUCGUAAAGCUGCAGGGAACAUAGAGAAGCCACUGGAGGGAUUUCAUAUAAUUGUGGAUGCAGGGAAUGGAGCAGGUGGAUUUUUUGCGGGAAAGGUACUUGAACCUUUGGGCGCAGUUACUACUGGCAGUCAGUUUUUGGAGCCAGAUGGUAUGUUUCCAAACCAUAUUCCCAACCCUGAGGAUAAAGCUGCAAUGAAAGCAAUAACCCAGGCAGUCCAGGAGAAUAAGGCGGAUUUAGGUAUCAUAUUUGAUACGGACGUUGACAGAUCUGCUGCAGUAGAUUCCACUGGUCGUGAGUUCAACCGUAAUCGACUUAUUGCUUUAAUGUCGGCUUUGGUACUUGAAGAACAUCCAGGAACUAGUAUUGUUACUGACAGCGCAACUUCAGAUGGCUUGACUGCAUUUAUUGAAAAGAAACUUGGAGGAAAGCAUCACCGGUUCAAAAGAGGGUACAAAAAUGUCAUUGAUGAAGCAGUUCGCUUGAAUUCUAUUGGUGAAGAGUCACAUUUGGCCAUUGAAACUAGUGGUCAUGGAGCUUUGAAGGAGAAUCACUGGCUUGAUGAUGGAGCAUACCUCAUGGUCAAACUCUUAAACAAACUUGCCUCUGCCAGAAAUUCUGGUUCAGGUAGUGGUAGCAAAGUUCUGACUGACUUGAUAGAGGGCCUGGAGGAAGCUGCUGUGGCAGUGGAACUAAGAUUGAAGAUUGAUCAGAACCAUGCAGACCUGAAAGGAGGGUACGUCAGACAGUAAUUUCUGAUGCAUUUUUCUUCCUCCUUUCCUUGAUAGGAAAUGGCUGAAACCUUGUAUUCUGGAAGUCCGUUUUUCCAUUGGACCCCAAGAUUCUUACUAGUGCUUUUGAUCUUUCCGUGAUUAUGGAGAAGCAGUGCUAAAACAUUUGGAGAACACAACUAGCUCAGAUCCGAAGCUGAAAAAAGCACCCAUCAACUAUGAAGGCGUUAGGGUCUCGGGCCAUGGUGGCUGGUUCCUGCUGAGGCUUUCACUUCAUGAUCCAGUUCUGCCCCUGAACAUUGAGGCUCCAAGCAAUGAGGAUGCUGUGAAGUUGGGGCUUGCUGUUCUGGCUGCCGUGAAAGAGUUUGCAGCUCUGGACACAUCGGCCCUUCACAAGUUUGUGCAACAGUAAGACCUUACCAGAACAAUGCCAUUUUGUCUCUACACCCUGAUAUGGCAAGCUGCGAGAAUUUGUUUCCCCUUAUUCUUGUGAGAAGGCUCAAUAACAUGUGUUUGCUACAUGAUUGCUUCUUGUACAAAACAAGAUAAUGUUCAGAUGGGAAUGAAGCCUUGUUACCUGAGUUUUUUGGUUA
Phoenix dactylifera (date palm) is the source of this 2283-nucleotide RNA transcript. RefSeq lists it as uncharacterized. NCBI's taxonomy places the organism in Eukaryota, Viridiplantae, Streptophyta, Magnoliopsida, Arecales, Arecaceae. The record is from RefSeq and is a predicted model, not a curated record.